RNAcentral lists this ribosomal RNA (417 nucleotides) under uncultured bacterium. RNAcentral describes it as "bacterial SSU rRNA". It matches the Rfam family "Bacterial small subunit ribosomal RNA", at positions 28 to 430 of the family's 1533-position model. The record is from RNAcentral.
GACGAACGCUGGCGGCGUGCCUAAUACAUGCAAGUCGAACGGUCUUUUCUAUGGAAGCUUGCUUCCACUGAGAAGAUAGUGGCGAACGGGUGAGUAACACGUGGGUAACCUGCCCAUAAGAGGGGGAUAACAUCCGGAAACGGGUGCUAAUACCGCAUAGGUUUCUUGGUCGCAUGAUCGAGAAAGGAAGACGGCCUUUGUGCUGUCGCUUAUGGAUGGACCCGCGGCGUAUUAGUUAGUUGGUGAGGUAAUGGCUCACCAAGACGAUGAUACGUAGCCGACUGAGAGGUGAUCGGCCACAUUGGGACUGAGACACGGCCCAAACUCCUACGGGAGCAGCAGUGGGAAUAUUGCACAAUGGAGGGAACUCUGAUGCAGCGACGCCGCGUGAAGGAAGAAGGUUUUCGGAUCGUAAAC